UCCUCCUUUUUUCAGCAGUUGGGAAUAUUGCGCAAUGGGCGAAAGCCUGACGCAGCGACGCCGCGUGAGGGAUGAAGGUCUUCGGAUCGUAAACCUCUGUCAGCAGGGAAGAACGGUCACUGUGCUAAUCAGCAGUGAAUUGACGGUACCUGCAAAGGAAGCACCGGCUAACUCCGUGCCAGCAGCCGCGGUAAUACGGAGGGUGCGAGCGUUAAUCGGAAUUACUGGGCGUAAAGGGAGCGUAGGCGGUUUAGCAAGUCAGAAGUGAAAGCCCGGGG
RNAcentral lists this ribosomal RNA (278 nucleotides) under uncultured bacterium. RNAcentral's name for it is "partial 16S ribosomal RNA". It matches the Rfam family "Bacterial small subunit ribosomal RNA", at positions 337 to 607 of the family's 1533-position model. The record is from RNAcentral.